This 253-nucleotide ribosomal RNA is filed under the name uncultured bacterium. Its description in RNAcentral is "partial 16S ribosomal RNA". It matches the Rfam family "Bacterial small subunit ribosomal RNA", at positions 524 to 776 of the family's 1533-position model. The record is from RNAcentral.
GACAGAGGGUGCAACCGUUGCUCGGAAUUACUGGGCGUAAAGCGCGUGUAGGCGGGCCGAUAAGUCAGAUGUGAAAUCCCUGAGCUCAACUCAGGAACUGCAUUUGAAACUGCCGGUCUAGAGUGGUGGAGAGGGAAGCGGAAUUCCUGGUGUAGAGGUGAAAUUCGUAGAUAUCAGGAGGAACACCGGUGGCGAAGGCGACUUCCUGGACACCAACUGACGCUGAGACGCGAAAGCGUGGGGAGCAAACAGG